GGACCCGCACAAGCGGUGGAUGAUGUGGUUUAAUUCGAUGCAACGCGAAAAACCUUACCCACCUUUGACAUGUACGGAAGUCGCUAGAGAUAGCUUCGUGCUCGAAAGAGAGCCGUAACACAGGUGCUGCAUGGCUGUCGUCAGCUCGUGUCGUGAGAUGUUGGGUUAAGUCCCGCAACGAGCGCAACCCUUGUCAUUAGUUGCUACAUUCAGUUGGGCACUCUAAUGAGACUGCCGGUGACAAACCGGAGGAAGGUGGGGAUGACGUCAAGUCCUCAUGGCCCUUAUAGGUGGGGCUACACACGUCAUACAAUGGCUGGUACAAAGGGUUGCCAACCCGCGAGGGGGAGCUAAUCCCACAAAGCCAGUCGUAGUCCGGAUCGUAGUCUGCAACUCGACUACGUGAAGUCGGAAUCGCUAGUAAUCGUGGAUCAGAAUGUCACGGUGAAUACGUUCCCGGGUCUU
This 465-nucleotide ribosomal RNA is filed under the name uncultured bacterium. Its description in RNAcentral is "bacterial SSU rRNA". It matches the Rfam family "Bacterial small subunit ribosomal RNA", at positions 917 to 1382 of the family's 1533-position model. The record is from RNAcentral.